AUCACUGUAGGGGGUAGAGCACUGUUUCGGCUAGGGGGUCAUCCCGACUUACCAAACCGAUGCAAACUCCGAAUACCUACAAGUGCCGAGCAUGGGAGACACACGGCGGGUGCUAACGUCCGUCGUGAAAAGGGAAACAACCCAGACCGUCAGCUAAGGUCCCAAAGUUAUGGUUAAGUGGGAAACGAUGUGGGAAGGCUUAGACAGCUAGGAGGUUGGCUUAGAAGCAGCCACCCUUUAAAGAAAGCGUAAUAGCUCACUAGUCGAGUCGGCCUGCGCGGAAGAUGUAACGGGGCUCAAACCAUACACCGAAGCUACGGGUAUCAUCUUCGGAUGAUGCGGUAGAGGAGCGUUCUGUAAGCCUGUGAAGGUGAGUUGAGAAGCUUGCUGGAGGUAUCAGAAGUGCGAAUGCUGACAUGAGUAACGAUAAUGGGUGUGAAAAACACCCACGCCGAAAGACCAAGGUUUCCUGCGCAACGUUAAUCGACGCAGGGUUAGUCGGUCCCUAAGGCGAGGCUGAAAAGCGUAGUCGAUGGAAAACAGGUUAAUAUUCCUGUACUUCUGGUUAUUGCGAUGGAGGGACGGAGAAGGCUAGGCCAGCUUGGCGUUGGU
RNAcentral lists this ribosomal RNA (612 nucleotides) under Aggregatibacter actinomycetemcomitans. Its description in RNAcentral is "bacterial LSU rRNA". It matches the Rfam family "Bacterial large subunit ribosomal RNA", at positions 889 to 1502 of the family's 2925-position model. Lineage: Bacteria; Pseudomonadati; Pseudomonadota; Gammaproteobacteria; Pasteurellales; Pasteurellaceae. The record is from RNAcentral.